RNAcentral lists this ribosomal RNA (303 nucleotides) under uncultured bacterium. RNAcentral describes it as "partial 16S ribosomal RNA". It matches the Rfam family "Bacterial small subunit ribosomal RNA", at positions 507 to 807 of the family's 1533-position model. The record is from RNAcentral.
AGCAGUAGCCGCGGUAAUACGGAGGGGGCUAGCGUUGUUCGGAAUUACUGGGCGUAAAGCGCACGUAGGCGGCUUGGUAAGUUAGAGGUGAAAGCCCAGGGCUCAACCCUGGAAUUGCCUUUAAGACUGCCGAGCUAGUAGGUGAGAGAGGUAAGUGGAAUUCCGAGUGUAGAGGUGAAAUUCGUAGAUAUUCGGAAGAACACCAGUGGCGAAGGCGGCUUACUGGCUCAUUCUAGACGCUGAGGUGCGAAAGCGUGGGGAGCAAACAGGAUUAGAUACCCCCGUAGUCCCUGUCUCUUAUAC